This 75-nucleotide transfer RNA is filed under the name Mucilaginibacter florum. RNAcentral describes it as "Mucilaginibacter sp. KACC 22063 tRNA-Ile". It matches the Rfam family "tRNA". From Rfam's summary of the family: Transfer RNA (tRNA) molecules are approximately 80 nucleotides in length. Their secondary structure includes four short double-helical elements and three loops (D, anti-codon, and T loops). The record is from RNAcentral. Lineage: Bacteria; Pseudomonadati; Bacteroidota; Sphingobacteriia; Sphingobacteriales; Sphingobacteriaceae.
AGAACGUUAGCUCAAUUAGGUAAGAGCGGCACCCUUAUACGGUGAUGGUUAAAGGUUCAAGUCCUUUACGUUCUA